UCGGGGGCUCACUCCUAACCCCUGUGACAUACCUUAAUGUUGCCUCGGCGGAUCAGCCCGCGCCCCGUAAAACGGGACGGCCCGCCAGAGGACCCAAACUCUAAUGUUUCUUAUUGUAACUUCUGAGUAAAACAAACAAAUAAAUCAAAACUUUCAACAACGGAUCUCUUGGUUCUGGCAUCGAUGAAGAACGCAGCAAAAUGCGAUAAGUAAUGUGAAUUGCAGAAUUCAGUGAAUCAUCGAAUCUUUGAACGCACAUUGCGCCCGCUGGUAUUCCGGCGGGCAUGCCUGUUCGAGCGUCAUUUCAACCCUCAAGCCCCCGGGUUUGGUGUUGGGGAUCGGCUCUGCCUUACGGCGGUGCCGCCCCCGAAAUACAUUGGCGGUCUCGCUGCAGCCUCCAUUGCGUAGUAGCUAACACCUCGCAACUGGAACGCGGCGCGGCCAUGCCGUAAAACCCCAACUUCUGAAUGUUGACCUCGGAUCAGGUAGGAAUACCCGCUGAACUUAAGCAUAUCAAAAGCCGGAGGAGAU
This 531-nucleotide ribosomal RNA is filed under the name Fusarium lateritium. Its description in RNAcentral is "eukaryotic LSU rRNA". The stretch from base 149 to 302 matches the Rfam family "5.8S ribosomal RNA". Lineage: Eukaryota; Fungi; Ascomycota; Sordariomycetes; Hypocreales; Nectriaceae. The record is from RNAcentral.